This 28-nucleotide non-coding RNA is filed under the name unclassified sequences. RNAcentral's name for it is "L19-Flavobacteria ribosomal protein leader". It matches the Rfam family "L19-Flavobacteria ribosomal protein leader". The record is from RNAcentral.
UAACCACUGGCGAUAACCGUGUAUGUUG